This 433-nucleotide ribosomal RNA is filed under the name uncultured bacterium. RNAcentral describes it as "partial 16S ribosomal RNA". It matches the Rfam family "Bacterial small subunit ribosomal RNA", at positions 29 to 507 of the family's 1533-position model. The record is from RNAcentral.
AGCGAACGCUGGCGGCAGGCCUAACACAUGCAAGUCGAACGAACUCUUCGGAGUUAGUGGCGGACGGGUGAGUAACACGUGGGAACGUGCCUUUAGGUUCGGAAUAACUCAGGGAAACUUGUGCUAAUACCGAAUGUGCCCUUCGGGGGAAAGAUUUAUCGCCUUUAGAGCGGCCCGCGUCUGAUUAGCUAGUUGGUGAGGUAAAGGCUCACCAAGGCGACGAUCAGUAGCUGGUCUGAGAGGAUGAUCAGACACAUUGGGACUGAGACACGGCCCAAACUCCUACGGGAGGCAGCAGUGGGGAAUCUUGCGCAAUGGGCGAAAGCCUGACGCAGCCAUGCCGCGUGAAUGAUGAAGGUCUUAGGAUUGUAAAAUUCUUUCACCGAGGACGAUAAUGACGGUACCCGGAGAAGAAGCCCCGGCUAACUUCGUG